This 3105-nucleotide long non-coding RNA is filed under the name Salmo salar (Atlantic salmon). RNAcentral's name for it is "lncRNA (ENSSSAG00000119941.1)". The record is from RNAcentral. Lineage: Eukaryota; Metazoa; Chordata; Actinopteri; Salmoniformes; Salmonidae.
CAAAAGCCCGUUGACAGAAGUCAACCUCAGUUCCCGAUGAUGUGAGGACUGGUGUCCAUACGUUUAAAAGGGCUAAUUUUAAUUAACAUGGAGGUGACGAUCGCCACACUGGAAAGAUGAAUUUAUACUAGACCAGCCAGAAUUCAGUGUGAGCUGAUUAUGGCAAAAUGGUAUGAUCUUUGAACUCUUAUUCACUAAAGAAGAAGUGAUACAUCGUAAAAGUCGAGUUAACAGCUGCAGUUGUUGCCUGGGAAAGGACAGACAAUCUCCUAAUCAGAACGACAGGGUACAACAUAUCCACCCUACAACACUACGACGAGACAGAUUCUACAAAGGACAAGGGGGAUCUCUGCUGGGCAAACCAGUCCUCCAUCUUUGAUCCAUCUAUCGAAGUGCAGCUCAGUUGAGAUAGUUCAGAGAUACCAAGCCCUGCAUAAGCAGUAGGAGAGGAUAAAUGAAUAUCAGUCAUGUCAACAAGGAGAAGGCAGUCACAUUAGCAGUUCAAGGUUAGUCUUCCAGAAGAAGAUAUGGAGAUAAUUUUUCUACAUUAUGGUCAGGAUAGAGGUAGCUACUAACACAGCGAUAGAUAGGUAGGUAGGUAGGUAGGUAGGUAGGUAGGUAGGUAGGUAUGCAUGAUAGUGUUAGCUAUGUCUCAGACACUGACAGAUCAGAGUUACCUACAGUUUAACUUGUCAGGAGGAAGUCUCUGUACUGGGGAGUGAUAGAGGGAGAGAGAUUAUGUGUGUGUGUGUGUGUGUGUGUGUGUGUGUGUGUGUGUGUGUGUGUGUGUGUGUGUGUGUGUGUGUGUGUGUGUGUGUGUGUGUGUGUGUGUCUAUGUGUGGAAGUGCAAAUGCAUUCAUAUGUGUGUGUGUGUGUGUCUAAGAUAUUGCUGCACUCAAACACAUAUGUAAACAAGUGCACUUGGUAGGUGAUUUAUAAAAGAUUAAGUGUCUUUGAGACAGGACUGGAUGUCUUGCCUUCCUUUCACACAUUAUAUCAUAUAUGCAUUUCAUUUUAUAAAGACUAAUAUACUCUCUCUCUCUCUCGCUCUCUCUCUCACACUUUGUUCCCCUACCCAUCUCAUUCCCCCUCUGUGACCUACCUCCCUCUUCCUUCACUCGUCUUGUCCCCCCAUCCAUCUCACUCCCCCUCUCUCACCUACCUCCCCUCUUGUUCCCAACCCAUCUCACUCCCCCUCUCUCACCUACCUCCCCCUUCUUUCACCUGCCCCUCUCCCCUCUUGUCCCCCAACCCAUCUCACUCCCCCUUUCUCACCUACCUCCCCCUUCCUUCACCCUUCUCCCUUCUUGAUCCUAGGUGUUGUAUCUGAGCGGUUUGGAUCUUAUCCUGGGUCAGAACUACGCAGUGCGAGGGGACCAAGUCUUGGUCCUAGGUGUUGCAUCUGAGAGAUUUGGAUCUUAUCGAUAGGACCAGGUCAUGCUAGAGACCCAGCACUUUGUCUGCUACCCAGAGCUCAAUAGUGACUAGAUCAAGUGUAAUGCCAGGGACUGCAUCUGGGAGGCAUUUAUCAUUGAAGGUGUCCUGUGGUGUUACUACCCUGAGGACUAUGGUUGCACCUCUACAAUGGUGACAGAGCAGCCAUCCUGCUGGAGCUUCAACCUCAGCAAAAAGCUAAACCAGUGGUCACCAACCGGUCAAUCGCGAUCGACUUGUCGAUCUCCAAGGCAUUUCUAGUCAAACACCAAACAUUUCUAUAAAAAAAAAACAAUAAAGCCCUGUGUACAUAUUUUUUUUAUUCGUCUCGGGCUGUUGGUGGUUGGUGCAGCCAGGCAAACUGUUUCCAUUUCAUGUGUCUGAAGGUACAAACUCUGCCUUCCUGGUGGGCCUGGUGAGGAAAUCAAGUGCGCUAUGCUACCGCUGGCCAAUCAGAUUGCUCAGAUGACAGAGUCUGCAGUAACAUACAGGCAUAAAAGAAAGCUACUAUGAGAUUUCAAAAUGCUUAAAACCAUGACUAGAGAGAGACUGUCAACGAGUACAACAAAGAGCUGCUGUUUUUAUGAGUGAGUUUGCAUUCAACACUUUUAUAAGACAUAAAAUGCGCUUCCUAUUUCCACUCAGCGCUACAACAAGCAGUGCAGCAGUAAUGAAUGAGUAGGAAAGUGUAUCUAUAGGCUUGCGUUGUUGUUAUUGUUGGCAGCUUGGGUCUUUUUUAAUAUCAAGAAAUAUUCACUUGGUCUGUUCAUAGGAGUAACAACAUGAAUUUGUGCAUGAGGCAGAAAUAAUGCGGUGCGACUUGAGUUUCACCAUCAGCUGGAAGACGGUGUCCCUUUUUGGUCAGUGUCAGUGGAGGAAAGGGAGAGCGGAGACUGAACAUCAAAUGCAGGCACCAUCAGCCCAGUAAAAUAAAAAGCAAAUGAUUUUAAUCUAUGCUCACUCAGCUAUGCCUCACAAGUAAUACAACAAUGGAUCUAUUACUGGUGUGAUCAUAUAGCCUACCACAAAUGUUGAAAUAUAAUUUCAAGAAUUGUCCCGAACAACAAUGCAUUGGCAGGUAAAUUCAAGCAAAGCCAAUAUGCGGUGAUACUGUAUUGGGCCUAUAGCUUACUGCACAAACCUCAUUGCUAUAGUACUGUUUUUAAUUGGUUAAUGUUGCAUAGGCUUACAUUUUUUAAGUAAUGUUAAUAAAAAAUCCGAGCGGUAGAUCUUGGCAUGUAUUUUGACUUAGAAAGUGAUCUUGAUUCAGAAAAGGUUGGUGACCACUGCGCUAAACGCUAAAGACUGGAAUCUGCAAACAUAGAUACUCUCCAAGUUAAGCUCAAAUAUCACAGUGUACUCCUGCUGCAGUUUACGGUUCCUUCUUAUGAUUGGAAUGACUCAGUUACUGUCACAUGGCACACAUCUCUCUCUCAAUUCAAUUCAAUUACAAUUAAGUGCUUUAUUGGCAUGGGAAAAGUUUACAUUGCCAAUGCUAGUGAAUUAGAUAAUUAACAAAAGUGAAAUAAUGUACAUUACACUCACAAAAGUGACAAAAUAAUAAAGAUUUUUCAAAUGUCAUAUUAUGUCUAUAUACAAUGUUGUAACGAUGCAAAUAGUUAACGUACAAAAGGUAAAAUAAAUAAACAUAAAUAUAGGUUGUAUUUAUAA